Molecule: unclassified non-coding RNA, 319 nt
Filed under: Hevea brasiliensis (rubber tree)
Lineage: Eukaryota; Viridiplantae; Streptophyta; Magnoliopsida; Malpighiales; Euphorbiaceae
Source: RNAcentral
GUCUCUGUCGAACAGAUAUUAUUAGCAAUGGAGAAAAUGCUAAUAAACAUUUCUUAUACUGUUAUCUCUAGUUUCCAAUUCUACCUUCAGCCCCUGCUAAAAUUUCUCUUUCCAGCACGCACCAACCAGAGCUUUGUUCCUGACAAACUAAGCCAAGAAGAGUUAAAGAUUGUGAUGGAACAACUUGGAGUUUUUUAUGAUAGAGAUGACGAGCUUCUGCAUCAAGAUCAGAGGUUAUUAGGUGCAGAUGAUCUCUCAAGAUUGUUCGAGGAAGAAGAACCCAGCUUGGAAGAACUGAAGGAAGCAUUUGAUGUGUUUG